GCCGGUGUAGUGUAAUGGUAACACGCGUGCUUUGGGAGCACGAAUCGCCGUUCGAAUCGGACACCGGCU
Molecule: transfer RNA, 69 nt
Filed under: Acidithiobacillus sp.
Lineage: Bacteria; Pseudomonadati; Pseudomonadota; Acidithiobacillia; Acidithiobacillales; Acidithiobacillaceae
Description: tRNA-Pro
Rfam family: tRNA
About the family: Transfer RNA (tRNA) molecules are approximately 80 nucleotides in length.
Source: RNAcentral